AAUUACAGGCAGGAGCUGCAGGAGGCCCCAGGGCUGACAUGGAAACAGCUGAACCUCCUCAGAAAUGGGGGUGCAAGAAGUGCUGGGAUGGGAUGUGCAUACACAAGCGGCUCUCAGCAGAGCCAGGUGUAACCACCAGCUUCCAACUUGUUUUCCAGACUGGGGCAAAUUGGGCUUUUGAAUGAUUUGCCGUGCCACAAGGUCAAAUAUCAAGGCUCAUACGCAACUCGAAAUGGGGUUUUGCCUUUUGGCACGCAGGACGGAUUGCCGGCUGCAGCUCAGAACAACAUUUCAAAGACAAAAAUCAGUUGACGCAUCAUAUUUCUCAAGCGACGACACUUAAUAAACGGCCUCUGGGUCAAGUAUUAAAGCUCUGAA
Molecule: long non-coding RNA, 378 nt
Organism: Harpia harpyja (harpy eagle)
Lineage: Eukaryota; Metazoa; Chordata; Aves; Accipitriformes; Accipitridae
Exons: 2
Source: RefSeq, a predicted model, not a curated record